UGCCAGCAGCCGCGGUAAUACGAAGGGUGCUAGCGUUAAUCGGAAUUACUGGGCGUAAAGCGCACGUAGGCGGACUGAUCAGUUGGGGGUGAAAUCCCAGGGCUCAACCCUGGAACUGCCUUCAAUACUGUCAGUCUUGAGUCCGAGAGAGGUGAGUGGAAUUCCUAGUGUAGAGGUGAAAUUCGUAGAUAUUAGGAAGAACACCAGUGGCGAAGGCGGCUCACUGGCUCGAUACUGACGCUGAGGUGCGAAAGUGUGGGAGCAAACAGGAUUAGAUA
RNAcentral lists this ribosomal RNA (278 nucleotides) under uncultured bacterium. RNAcentral's name for it is "partial 16S ribosomal RNA". It matches the Rfam family "Bacterial small subunit ribosomal RNA", at positions 506 to 784 of the family's 1533-position model. The record is from RNAcentral.